CACGUAGGGGGCAAGCGUUGUCCGGAUUUAUUGGGCGUAAAGAGCUCGUAGGUGGCUCGGUAAGUCGGGUGUUAAACCCCCAGGCUCAACCUGGGGACGCCACUCGAUACUGCUGUGACUAGAGUCCGGUAGGGGAGCGUGGAAUUCCUGGUGUAGCGGUGAAAUGCGCAGAUAUCAGGAGGAACACCAGCGGCGAAGGCGGCGCUCUGGGCCGGUACUGACGCUGAGGAGCGAAAGCGUGGGGAGCGAACAGG
Molecule: ribosomal RNA, 254 nt
Filed under: uncultured bacterium
Lineage: Bacteria
Description: partial 16S ribosomal RNA
Rfam family: Bacterial small subunit ribosomal RNA
Source: RNAcentral